AGCAAAUUAUAAUUAUUGAAGCCACAACAAGAAGUUUUGUAACAACGCACGACCUCACCCAAAAUAACUAGCCAAAAGAUAUUAUUUGGAUUUUUUUUAGUCAUAUAUAAGUACCUAAGAUUUUUUCGGCAAAUAACCGAUGUGGAACUAAACACACGCCCGCAUGGGUCGUCACAUACUCUCCCCGUUUAAACCCUUACAUCCUUAUCA
RNAcentral lists this long non-coding RNA (210 nucleotides) under Phoenix dactylifera (date palm). Its description in RNAcentral is "long non-coding RNA (PDAC_LNC008837)". Lineage: Eukaryota; Viridiplantae; Streptophyta; Magnoliopsida; Arecales; Arecaceae. The record is from RNAcentral.